UGGGGAAUUUUGGACAAUGGGCGCAAGCCUGAUCCAGCAAUGCCGCGUGCAGGAUGAAGGCCUUCGGGUUGUAAACUGCUUUUGUACGGAGCGAAAAGGUCUGCCCUAAUACGGUGGGCUCAUGACGGUACCGUAAGAAUAAGCACCGGCUAACUACGUGCCAGCAGCCGCGGUAAUACGUAGGGUGCGAGCGUUAAUCGGAAUUACUGGGCGUAAAGCGUGCGCAGGCGGUUAUGCAAGACAGAGGUGAAAUCCCCGGGCUCAACCUGGGAACUGCCUUUGUGAAUGGAUAGAUAGAGUACGGUAGGAGGGGAUGGAAUUCCGCGUGUAGCAGUGAAAUGCGUAGAUAUGCGGAGGAACACCGAUGGCGAAGGCAGUCCCCUGGACAUGUACUGACGCUCAUGAACGAAAGCGUGGGGAGCAAACA
Molecule: ribosomal RNA, 427 nt
Filed under: uncultured bacterium
Lineage: Bacteria
Description: bacterial SSU rRNA
Rfam family: Bacterial small subunit ribosomal RNA
Source: RNAcentral